RNAcentral lists this transfer RNA (75 nucleotides) under Patescibacteria group bacterium. Its description in RNAcentral is "tRNA-Met". It matches the Rfam family "tRNA". Rfam says of the family: Transfer RNA (tRNA) molecules are approximately 80 nucleotides in length. Their secondary structure includes four short double-helical elements and three loops (D, anti-codon, and T loops). The record is from RNAcentral.
GGCAGGGUAGCUCAGUUGGUUAGAGCGCCGGAUUCAUAAACCGGAGGUUCGUGGGUUCGAUCCCCACCCCUGCUA